RNAcentral lists this long non-coding RNA (2226 nucleotides) under Homo sapiens (human). RNAcentral's name for it is "non-protein coding lnc-MAN1B1-1:1". Lineage: Eukaryota; Metazoa; Chordata; Mammalia; Primates; Hominidae. The record is from RNAcentral.
CCCCAACACCCCGCGCCCCGCGGCCGCUGCCCAGGGGUCCUUCCCGGGCACGGCGCGGGGAAGCAGAGGGCCCCCGGGCCAUCUCCGCGGCCUCCCGCCCCACUGGCUCGUCCUCCUACCGCGGCCCCAUCCGGAGCUGCGCUAGGGCGAGUCCCUGCUGCGCCCGCCAAGCCUCCCCAGCACUUGCUCCUGGCAGGUGCCCCACUCCAAGGCAGGGCCGGGAGAGUGGGGGCCGUUCUGCUGCCCUAAGGGCGGGAGGGAGAGGGUCCCAAACAGAGUGCUGGCCCCCCGAAGAAAGCAACCCAGGGUUUGUCCAAGCGAUAACGGGCUGGGCUUGGCGGGGCGGGGCCUCGCAGCGGGCAGGAGUGUGGGGUGCCCCUGGAGCGUCUGGGCAGGGCCGGGAUGUGGCCGGGUAGCUCCCAAGAGCUGGGAAUCGCCACCUGCCCUUCCGACUGGCACCCAGUGUGCCCACACAGCCCUGCAGGGACAAGGGGGGACCAGAGGCCUCUGCUGGGAGCUGGGGCCUCCUCCCUGGGGAGCACCCAGAGGAUGGAAGAAGUCACCUUUCCCCAGCGUCCAGUUCAGGGAGUGGGUGAGGGGGCCGUAGUGGUGGGUGCCAGACUAGCUACGUGGAGUCCUGCUGGGGAUGUACAUGGGCCGCUAGCCAGGCCCAGAACAGGUGCAGGGGCAGCAGGGGCUCAGCUACAGAGAGUUACCCUGUCCUUCUCCCAAGACUACCCUCGGCCAGCAUGACCCUGCCCUGCCCAUCCUGUGUGGGGCUGAGCGGAGAAGACCGGCCACUUCCACAGCCCCUCACGCCAUGGCCCUCCCGUGCCUCACACAGAGGCACCCCCCAUGGUGGGUGACUGGUGGCUGGGGCCCUCAGCAUGGUGGCAGUGACCAUCACGUCACACUGCAACACGAGGUCAUCCAGGGCCACACACCGUCCCCACCACGGCCCUCACAUCUGGGCCCUGUCCCAUCCCUACGCAGUUCCUGGGGCUGCCUGCCGGGGCCCCCGCAGGACGGGGGUGAGGACAAACAGCAGACCUCCUUGGAUGUGGAGGUACCCCACGGCGUCCCCCACCCCACACCUCUGCUCCUUUGGCUCCCUCGGGUGCCUUAGGUGGCCAGAACUCCACCAGCAACCCUCACCCAGGACCGCAGCUCUGGAGACGCCAGCUAGGCCGAGAGCUGGCCAGCUCCCCAAGCACACCAGAGCCUGGAGACGCUCCAGGCUUGGCUGGGCCCACAGAGGGGCCAGAGCCUCAGGGAGGGCUCCAGGAGCAGGGUUUCCAAGGAAGCCACUUUCCCUCUUGUCCACGGCCCAGGCAUUGAUGCCCCUCUGGGCAGCAGCCAGGGCCUCCCAAGCCGGGAAGGGUGGGCAUGGGGCUACCCAGCAUGGCUCUGCCAGGGGUGAGGGUGGCCACAGUCCCCUGCCCACAUCCCUGUGCCCACAGAAACAUAUGCUGUAUGGAAUCAAGGUUUAAGGCAUCUAGGCCUGUGCUGGUAACCUGUAACCUUAGCCCCAUCCCUGUGCCCACAGAAACAUGUGCUGUAUUGACUCAAGGUUUAGGGGAUUUAGGGCUGUGCAGGAUGUGCUUUGUUAACAAUGUGUUUGCAGGCAGUAUGCUUGGUAAAAGUCAUCGCCAUCCUCCAUUCUCCAUUAACCAGGGACACAGUGCACUGCGGAAAGCCGCAGGGACCUCUGCCCAAGAAAGCCUGGGUAUUGUCCAGGUUUCCCCCCAGUGAGACGGCCUGAGAUAUGGCCUCGUGGGAAGGGAAAGACCUGAUCGUCCCCCAGCCCGACACCCAUAAAGGGUCUGUGCUGAGGAGGAUUAGUGAAAGAGGGAGGCCUCUUUGCAGUUGAGAUAAGAGGAAGGCUUCUGUCUCCGACAUGCCCCUGGGAACGGAAUGUCUCCGUGUAAAACCCGAUCGUACAUUAGUUCUAUUCUGAGACAGGAGAAAACCGCCCUGUGGCUGGAGGCGAGAUAUGCUGGCGGCAAUGCUGCUCUGUUACUCUGCUACACUGAGAUGUUUGGGUGGAGAGAAGCAUGAAUCUGGCCUACGUGCACAUCCGGGCACAGCACCUUCCCUUCAAGCUAUUUGUGACACAGAUGCCUUUGCUCACAUUUUCUUGCUGACCUCUGCUCUGCUGCCGCAUUCCUCAUGCAAAGAUAGUGAAAAUGGUAAUGAAUAAAUACUGAGGGAACUCAGAGACCGGGG